This 639-nucleotide ribosomal RNA is filed under the name uncultured bacterium. RNAcentral's name for it is "bacterial SSU rRNA". It matches the Rfam family "Bacterial small subunit ribosomal RNA", at positions 232 to 885 of the family's 1533-position model. The record is from RNAcentral.
CGCGGCCUAUCAGCUUGUUGGCGAGGUAAAGGCUCACCAAGGCAUUGACGGGUAGCUGGUUUGAGAGGACGAUCAGCCACACUGGGACUGAGACACGGCCCAGACUCCUGCGGGAGGCAGCAGUGGGGAAUCUUGCGCAAUGGGCGAAAGCCUGACGCAGCAACGCCGCGUGGGGGAUGAAGGCUCUCGGGUUGUAAACCCCUUUCAGCAGGGACGAAAUUGACGGUACCUGUAGAAGAAGCCCCGGCCAACUACGUGCCAGCAGCCGCGGUAACACGUAGGGGGCGAGCGUUGUCCGGAAUUAUUGGGCGUAAAGGGCUCGUAGGCGGUUCGGUAAGUCAGAUGUGAAAGGUUGGGGCUCAACCCUAAGACUGCAUUUGAUACUGCCGUGACUAGAGUCCGGUAGAGGAGUGUGGAAUUCCUGGUGUAGCGGUGAAAUGCGCAGAUAUCAGGAGGAACACCGACGGCGAAGGCAGCACUCUGGGCCGGUACUGACGCUGAGGAGCGAAAGCGUGGGUAGCAAGCAGGAUUAGAUACCCUGGUAGUCCACGCCGUAAACGUUGGGCACUAGGUGUGGGACCUUAUCAACGGGUUCCGUGCCGUAGCUAACGCAUUAAGUGCCCCGCCUGGGGAGUACGG